GCGAAAUGCGAUACUUGGUGUGAAUUGCAGAAUCCCGCGAACCAUCAAUUCUUUGAACGCAAGUUGCGCCCGAAGCCAUACGGCCGAGGGCACGCCUGCCUGGGUGUCGUGA
Molecule: ribosomal RNA, 112 nt
Filed under: Miconia pectinata
Lineage: Eukaryota; Viridiplantae; Streptophyta; Magnoliopsida; Myrtales; Melastomataceae
Description: partial 5.8S ribosomal RNA
Rfam family: 5.8S ribosomal RNA
About the family: 5.8S ribosomal RNA (5.8S rRNA) is a component of the large subunit of the eukaryotic ribosome. It is transcribed by RNA polymerase I as part of the 45S precursor that also contains 18S and 28S rRNA.
Source: RNAcentral